UACGGGGGGAGCAAGCGUUGUUCGGAUUUACUGGGCGUAAAGGGCGCGUAGGCGGCCAGUGCAAGUCAGUUGUGAAAUCUCCGAGCUUAACUCGGAAAGGUCAACUGAUACUGCUCGGCUAGAGUGCGGAAGGGGCAACUGGAAUUCUUGGUGUAGCGGUGAAAUGCGUAGAUAUCAAGAGGAACACCUGCGGCGAAGGCGGGUUGCUGGGCCGACACUGACGCUGAUGCGCGAAAGCUAGGGGAGCAAACAGG
This 254-nucleotide ribosomal RNA is filed under the name uncultured bacterium. RNAcentral's name for it is "partial 16S ribosomal RNA". It matches the Rfam family "Bacterial small subunit ribosomal RNA", at positions 524 to 776 of the family's 1533-position model. The record is from RNAcentral.